Molecule: ribosomal RNA, 253 nt
Filed under: uncultured bacterium
Lineage: Bacteria
Description: partial 16S ribosomal RNA
Rfam family: Bacterial small subunit ribosomal RNA
Source: RNAcentral
UACGUAGGGGGCGAGCGUUGUCCGGAGCUACUGGGCGUAAAGCGCACGCAGGCGGUCUGCUAAGUUUGGAGUGACAGUUGGUGGCUUAACUGCCAAAGUGCUUCGAAAACUGACAGACUUGAGGGCUUCAGAGGGACACGGAAUUCCGGGUGGAGUGGUGAAAUGCGUAGAGAUCCGGAGGAACACCAAAGGCGAAGGCAGUGUCCUGGGGAGUACCUGACGCUCAGGUGCGAAAGCCAGGGGAGCGAACGGG